Molecule: ribosomal RNA, 486 nt
Filed under: uncultured bacterium
Lineage: Bacteria
Description: partial 16S ribosomal RNA
Rfam family: Bacterial small subunit ribosomal RNA
Source: RNAcentral
AUUGAACGCUGGCGGCAUGCCUUACACAUGCAAGUCGAACGGCAGCACGGGUGCUUGCACCUGGUGGCGAGUGGCGAACGGGUGAGUAAUACAUCGGAACAUGUCCUGUAGUGGGGGAUAGCCCGGCGAAAGCCGGAUUAAUACCGCAUACGAUCUACGGAUGAAAGCGGGGGACCUUCGGGCCUCGCGCUAUAGGGUUGGCCGAUGGCUGAUUAGCUAGUUGGUGGGGUAAAGGCCUACCAAGGCGACGAGCAGUAGCUGGUCUGAGAGGACGACCAGCCACACUGGGACUGAGACACGGCCCAGACUCCUGCGGGAGGCAGCAGUGGGGAAUUUUGGACAAUGGGCGAAAGCCUGAUCCAGCAAUGCCGCGUGUGUGACGAAGGCCUUCGGGUUGUAAAGCACUUUUGUCCGGAAAGAAAUCCUUGGCCCUAAUACGGUCGGGGGAUGACGGUACCGGAAGAAUAAGCACCGGCUAACUACGUG